RNAcentral lists this ribosomal RNA (497 nucleotides) under uncultured bacterium. RNAcentral describes it as "partial 16S ribosomal RNA". It matches the Rfam family "Bacterial small subunit ribosomal RNA", at positions 28 to 507 of the family's 1533-position model. The record is from RNAcentral.
GAUGGACGCUGGCGGCGUGCCUAAUACAUGCAAGUCGAGCGAACGGACGAGAAGCUUGCUUCUCUGAUGUUAGCGGCGGACGGGUGAGUAACACGUGGAUAACCUACCUAUAAGACUGGGAUAACUUCGGGAAACCGUAGCUAAUACCGGAUAAUAUUAUGAACCGCAUGGUUCAAAAGUGAAAGACGGUCUUGCUGUCACUUAUAGAUGGAUCCGCGCUGCAUUAGCUAGUUGGUAAGGUAACGGCUUACCAAGGCAACGAUGCAUAGCCGACCUGAGAGGGUGAUCGGCCACACUGGAACUGAGACACGGUCCAGACUCCUACGGGAGGCAGCAGUAGGGAAUCUUCCGCAAUGGGCGAAAGCCUGACGGAGCAACGCCGCGUGAGUGAUGAAGGUCUUCGGAUCGUAAAACUCUGUUAUUAGGGAAGAACAUAUGUGUAAGUAACUGUGCACAUCUUGACGGUACCUAAUCAGAAAGCCACGGCUAACUACGUG